Non-coding RNA from Parelaphostrongylus tenuis, 73 nucleotides. Lineage: Eukaryota; Metazoa; Nematoda; Chromadorea; Rhabditida; Metastrongylidae. The record is from the annotation of a GenBank genome assembly.
GUGUCAGUGGUGCAACGGUCCAACACACGCUCUUGGAAAGAGUGAGAUCUGGGUUCGAAUCCCGGCUGACUCA